CAAUGGCGUAUAUUUAAGUUGUUGCAGUUAAAAAGCUCGUAGUCGGAUUUUGGCUGAGAACGAUCGGUCCGCCGUUAGGUGUGCACUGAUUGGUCUCAGCUUCCUGGUGAGGAGGUGUGCUUCACGGCCACUUAGUCACCGUGGUUACUUUGAAAAAAUUAGAGUGUUCAAAGCGGGCUUACGCUUGAAUAUAUUAGCAUGGAAUAACACCAUAGGACUCCUGUCCUAUUUCGUUGGUCUCGGGACGGGAGUAAUGAUUAAGAGGAACGGUUGGGGGCAUUCGUAUUUCAUUGUCAGAGGUGAAAUCCUUGGAUUUAUGAAAGACGAACUUCUGCGAAAGCAUUUGCCAAGGAUGUUUUCAUUGA
RNAcentral lists this ribosomal RNA (365 nucleotides) under uncultured eukaryote. RNAcentral describes it as "partial 18S ribosomal RNA". It matches the Rfam family "Eukaryotic small subunit ribosomal RNA", at positions 592 to 976 of the family's 1831-position model. The record is from RNAcentral.